This is a long non-coding RNA of Mustela erminea (ermine), 565 nucleotides long. RefSeq lists it as uncharacterized. The transcript has 6 exons. Lineage: Eukaryota; Metazoa; Chordata; Mammalia; Carnivora; Mustelidae. The record is from RefSeq and is a predicted model, not a curated record.
UUGCCUUUCCUGAUCACCCUUCUUCAGCCUGAUUACAAAGAAGUGUCCCAUUGUAAUCCUUAUUGGCCUUAGACGUAAAACUUGGUGCUGCGUAAAGUUCUACCUGCAGCUCUUACCACGCCUCCUGUCCUAACAGUCUUGACCUCCAGAAGAUCUCCAAGCAACAUUAUAGAUCCAUCCAGACACCCUUCCACUAUUCAGGUGUGAGAACCUUACUGAAUAGACAUCAGCUACCCGAGGAAAAGCCAGAGCCAAGUCUGAAGUAAAAUAGACCAGAAUCACUAGUAGAAAGGAAUCUCAACAAAGUUUCGAAGAGUGGGGAACCCCUGACUGUUUCUGUAUGUAAUUCAACUCGACAACCAGUUCUAUGACUCAAUGCUGAAUGAUAGGAAUUUAUGGAGAAGAAGUGUGUAAUGGAAACAAAGAGAAAAAAAAAUGUGUGAAAGACCGUUUGAGAUAAUCUGGGUAUCUGCUGGCCCCAUUAUCAGAUGAAAAGAACAAAAACAUUCAUUUAUUAGCAGAUGAUAUGGUAUGCUUUCCUUCGAUGAGAAAUGACUGAGACUGA